AGCAAGAGCCCGGAGAUGGAUUCUGAGACACGAAUCCAGGCCCUACGGGGCGCAGCAGGCGCGAAAACUUUACAAUGCGGGAAACCGUGAUAGGGGAACUCCGAGUGCCCGUAAAAUCGGGCUGUCCACCAGUUUAAAUAACUGGUGAAGAAAGGGCCGGGCAAGACCGGUGCCAGCCGCCGCGGUAAUACCGGCGGCUCGAGUGGUGGCCACUAUUACUGGGCUUAAAGCGUUCGUAGCUGGUUUGUUAAGUCUCUGGGGAAAUCUUCCGGCUUAACCGGAAGGCGUCUCAGGGAUACUGGCAGACUAGGGACCGGGAGAGGUGAGGGGUACUCCAGGGGUAGGAGUGAAAUCCUGUAAUCCUUGGGGGACCACCUGUGGCGAAGGCGCCUCACCAGAACGGCUCCGACAGUGAGGGACGAAAGCUGGGGGAGCAAACCGGAUUAGAUACCCGGGUAGUCCCAGCUGUAAACGAUGCGCGUUAGGUGUAUCAGUGACCACGAGUCACUGAGGUGCCGAAGAGAAAUCGUGAAACGUGCCGCCUGGGAAGUACGGUCGCAAGGCUGAAACU
Molecule: ribosomal RNA, 571 nt
Filed under: uncultured archaeon
Lineage: Archaea
Description: bacterial SSU rRNA
Rfam family: Archaeal small subunit ribosomal RNA
Source: RNAcentral